Molecule: long non-coding RNA, 381 nt
Organism: Salmo salar (Atlantic salmon)
Lineage: Eukaryota; Metazoa; Chordata; Actinopteri; Salmoniformes; Salmonidae
Source: RefSeq, a predicted model, not a curated record
GACAUGCCUAUUUAGAUUUAAGGUUGUCUUGAACACAGCAGACUCCUUCCGCCACAAGCUUUGACAGAAGAGACAAAAUGCAGCGGGUAUCUUUGGCAUUGGUCAUUUUCACCAUUGCAAUAAUUACAAUCCAAUCUGUGCCAAUAGAAACAAGUGGUGAAAUGAUUGAGAAAACACAACAUGUCAGCAUGAGCCCGUUUCGCAGGAGACGGGGGACUGAUGACUCAUUCAAGAAACCCUCACGCUCCUGCUCUGGCUGCUACUCUGUCAUAGGAGACCCCACUGCAACAUGAUCAUCACGCUAGUGAGGAGCUGGUUUCACUUUUCCAGGGGACAAAUCAACAAACGCGGAAUCACCAGAAACUCCACUCCAAAGAGCAA